GACUGGGGAUGAAACUGGACUCAUUGAGAGCAGCAGCAGCAGCAGCAGCGCUGACACUCCACAAGGGCCCGAUGUUAACGCAGAGAGAGAGAGAGAGAGAGAGAGAGAGAGAGAGAGAGAGAGAGAGAGAGAGAGAAAAUAAAUAAAAAAAACAUCUGGAGAAAUUCAUUAGGAGCUGAAGUUGAGGACAUUUCCCUCCAGAGUCCGGCUCUGCUUCUGAAACAGAUCAGCCACCAGCAUCGUGUCGGGCUGCAGCGUUGACAGUGUGAGAGAGGAGGUGUGUUUCUGUCUUUGGUUAUCUAGCUGUAUGAGUGUUAAAUACCUGUCAUAAAGCUAGAUAACCGAAAGUAGAAAUUACUUCCGUAACGCUGUGUUCAUUCCUGGAAAAAAAAGAAAAAGAAAAAAAGAAGAGUGAAGGAUUUGGACUUUCACCUAAAAAAAAGGCUUCCGAUAAUCAACGGCGAAUGAUCAGGGAUUCCUGAAAAGAGGGUAGAACCAUAAUUAAAAGAAAACGAGGAGAGAAAAAACGGUCAGUGCGGAAUUGCCACCUCACCCAUCCCCCCACUCCUCACCCUUUUUACCCAAGAGCCUCUAAUGCCAUCUGUACUGUCAAUGGGGGAACACUGUGCCCGUGCCAGGAGGCGGACAAAGACCCUGCCGGAUCCUUGGAGUAUGGGUGCGCUCAGAGGAGCCAUCUUGGGAGAUGUUGCCGCGACACCUAAAAUGGCUGGGCUGGCAUACGAGGAUGAGGAUCUGCAAGCCCUUCUGCACUAGGAACCUUCUUUGGCACGAAGAGAUUGUGGACCAAACUCAACCAAAUGUUGCCAUCCGAGCCCAGAGCAUGACGUUUGGCAGCCAAACACUGCAAGAAGAGUGUGAUGUUAAAGAACUGUGUGGAAAGAGAUAUUCUGUAAAUCUGAAAUGUAUUAAUCAAAAUGUGUGAUAUAUGUUAUCCAUGAAAAGUUUAUUAAGAUAAUGUAUUAGUGAAAAAGACAUGUUUAUCCAUAUCUAUUAUUUAAAAAAGAUCGUAAAUAAAACAGAAUUACAUGUUCAAACAUACUUCUCACUCAAUAUAUUAUGAUAUUGUGCUUUUUUAUAUCUAAUGCAUGUUUUAAUUAAAUCAUGUAUUAAUUCAUUGUUCUCAUAUGUCUAAAUUGAAAUGAUAAUUAAGAGAAUAAUAAUACACUACUGAUAAAGUUUAUUGUUUUAAGUUGACUGCUGUCAGUCAAACUUUUUGAAAUAAAAAAUACAAAUGCUA
Dicentrarchus labrax (European seabass) is the source of this 1258-nucleotide long non-coding RNA. RefSeq lists it as uncharacterized. The transcript is spliced from 4 exons. The record is from RefSeq and is a predicted model, not a curated record. NCBI's taxonomy places the organism in Eukaryota, Metazoa, Chordata, Actinopteri, Moronidae.